UUCUACUGUAUGGACCACCUGGGACUGGGAAAACGCUAUAGGCCAGAGCAGUAGCUCAUCAUACUGAUUGUACUUUCAUAAGGGUUUCUGGUUCUGAGUUGGUUCAAAAGUAUAUUGGGGAGUGAUCCCGUAUGGUCAUGGAACUUUUUGUCAUGGCCAGGUAUUCAGCAAGGAUAAUAGAGUAACUCUAGGAAGGAAGGAGUUGAUUAAAAACACUCUUAGGAAAGCUGCACAUGCCUGGAAAAAGUUGGGAGAGCUUCGUCUUACUGGUAUUUUGAAGGAUAA
Impatiens glandulifera is the source of this 285-nucleotide long non-coding RNA. RefSeq lists it as uncharacterized. The record is from RefSeq and is a predicted model, not a curated record. The transcript is spliced from 3 exons. Lineage: Eukaryota; Viridiplantae; Streptophyta; Magnoliopsida; Ericales; Balsaminaceae.